AGUCUGAGCUGACUGCUGACAGGAAAUACCUCUCGUUCCAAGCUCAGAACCUCUGAAGAACUAAGGAGCAGGUGGGGGUGGGGAGACCGUCUUGGAGUGAUGGGGAAGAGGAAAGAGCAUACAAAUAUUGUCCCCCAUAUUUGGGGUUUCAUUUCCUUCCCUCACCACCCAGAGAGUGGAUAAGGGGAUGGAGGAGGGCAGGCUAGGAGGAGGAUGUGGUAACAGCUGAUUCGUCCCCAGAGGUCACACUUUCCAACAAUCAGCUGUUACUGGGGCGGAAGGCAGGAAGUUUCCUUAAAGGCACAAUGUUCUGAACACAGGCUCAGAAUUCUGGAGCUCCAAGGAACCAUAGCAAUUACCCGGCGGAGACCGUAUUCAACACAGAAGGAACUAUCUCACACUCCAGGCUCAUUUCUCCGGCUCUGUUACCGUCACCACCAAUUUGGAGCUUAUGGAAAAAGUGAUGGAUCCCCGUCUACAUGUUUCUCUUUGGUGCUGGUGGAGGGGGCGAGUGAUGAGGUGGGCUAGGUCCUACGCUUGCCGCUUUAAAAAAGCAGAUCAGCAGCUUUUGCCAAGUCAUUGGGUUCAUUUCAGUUUUUGCCCAUCCCCCGCACCUCUAGACUCUGAUUGGCCCCUGGGGAAGGAGCAGCCUCCUCAUUGGCCUCCACCUUUGAAAUCUCUACCCUAAGUAGGCCCGAGUAAGUGAGGAGCUUUGGGAGGGCCGGACAGAAUGGGGGGGGGGGCAGUGAAUCAGAGGAUGGGAUGGCGGAUCAGUUGCACUUUGGCACGGCCCGUCCCCUAAUUUCUGACCAUAAGCAUUUCCUCUACCCUAAGGUGAGGACUGUGCCAAUGAAUCUUAAGUUAGGAAGCUACCUCUUGAGAGAGUCUGGAGCUCUUCUCCGACUGGGACGAGACAUCUACAAGAAAAGGCUCAUCUGGUUAGGAAGGGCCCCCAAGGAGGCUUGGACUAGAUCUCUCCAGAGAAAGCGGGGGCUGGGCGAGGUGAGCAAUCCUCCCUUCCCCAGAAGCCCAACAGAAGAAUCUCUGCUGCCUUGGGGGCUGAUUUCCACCUUCAGUUUUGCCCACUCCUGCUAUUCCGCCUGCUCCACCUUAGAGAGCUGUGACUUCCCGCGAAGGGCAGCGAGUCAGUUUGGGGGUUGUCUAAAACAUCACUCCCAGCUCCAAAAAGGGCUAGAGCCCUUUAAGGACCUCACCGGGAUGGACUCAGAGAUCAGUUUAAAAAUGCCAACUCACACAGCGCGCUGGAUUCUGGGAAUGGGGGUAUCAGACCGAGAACUACAUUAACCAGUGUGCACUGCAAACACACACGCCUUUACUUUCUUCUGCUCUUUAGGACUCUGGUUUGACGUAGCGCUUUUCUAAGCAAGUCCCUUCCUCGGAGGGCUGGCCACACCUUUUCGCCUAUUGGUCAGCUCGCGAGUGAGUGGGCGUGGCUUAGCGCACUUUCUCUCGGCAAAGGGGUGGCCUCCUUGCCAAUCAGAGCCCAGGCGUCCGGAGAGGCGGGACCAGGGCGAAGUGCUGGCGCCCCCGAGUGGGUGUGGUCACGUUGCCCAGCAGUGGGCGGUGAUUGGCCCUGGGCGGUGCGAUCGCAGCUUGUGCGUCACGACGCCGCCAGCUGAUCGGAGACUGGAGCCGGUGUGUGCUGGGCGCUGGGAAGAGACAGCGCCGCCGGCCGUGGGGAGCUGACGCAGUGAUUUGCUCCCUUGCCCUCAGCAACCCCCACACCCAGCACCAGGCCCCCCAGACUCUCCUUCCAGCUGAACUCCCUGGGAACAAGUCAGUUGGGCUGAUCACUGAACUUCCAUUUCUGGAAUUGAGGAGCCUGAUCCUCUCACAUCCUCACCUGGCUGAGCCGCAGUAGUUCUUCAGUGGCAAGCUUUAUGUCCUGACCCAGCUAAAGCUGCCAGUUGAAGAACUGUUGCCCUCUGCCCCUGACUUCGAGGAGGAGGAGGAAGAGGAAGAGGAGUAGCUGCUCUCCCCAUCAUCUGGAAGUGUCCCCCUCCAGCCCUGGGAAUGUGGCUCUGCCAUCUUCACCCGUCAUGGAGCAGAGGUGAGGAAGGGCAGCCUCGGAACACAGAGACCAGUGAAGGACCAAGCCUGGACAGCACAGGGCCCUAUCUGGACAUCCAGCAGAGGGGCCCAUGAAGGCCAGGAGCACGCCAAGAGGAGGAAGAAGAGCCAGCCUCUGUCCACAACAAGCUUCCAGCCAUCUCCUACUUCACUCACCAUUUCUCUCCAGUCUUUCUGCCUCCCUCAGAGAUGUGGAACCAUAGGAAAGUGUCCUGUGGCUUCACCCUCCUACUUCCACCUUUUCCCCAGCCUGUAGUAUUUAUAUUAGCAGCUUCAAGGAGCAAGAGCCAGGUGUGAAAGGACAUACACAGGAAUUCAUAACAGAAAUUCAAAUGGAUAAAACCAUGAAAGAAAUGCAUGCUUUAUUAGUAAUUAAAGAAAAGCAAAUAUAUAAUAGCUGAAAGCAUUUUUCCUUUAGCAAACUAUAACAAAAAAAUAAGGCUCAACAUUGGCAAAAGAGUACUGAAAUAACACUCUCAUAUAUUGCAUGUGGCAGUAUAAAUUGGUACAGCCUUUUGGAUGCCAAUUCAGUAAUAUGUAUCUUACACCCUAAAAGCUUCCAUGUCCUUUGACCUAGUAAUUUUAUGUCUGGGAAUUUAUCCUAAGAAAAUAAUUAAGGAUUUAGUUAUAAGAUGUUCAUCCCAGCAUUCCAAUAGAGAAAAAUGAGAAGCAACUAUUUGAUUGGGAAUUCAUUCCUUUUCUGCUAUAAUGAAAAUUUGUAAUAGGGGAUUGCUUAAGUAAAUUAUUGUGUAUCUAUCCAGAUGGUGGAGUACUGCACAGCCAUUAAAAGUCAUGUAGAAGAACAUUUGACUAGAAAGAAAAAUGCUCUUUGAAUAUUAGAAAGGUUAUAAAAAGUGUAUAUUAUGUGACCUCAAUUUUAUUUUUAAAAAUAUGAGUAUAUACUUGUAUGCAUAGAACAGAUAAAAAAGAUUGAAGACAUACUCAAAAAUGUUAAUAGUGGUUAUCUUUGGAUGGUGUGAUUUUCCUCUGGUUUUUCUGUACUUUUCAAAUUUUCUACAUUAAUUGUGUAUUGUUUUCAUAUAAUAAAAAUUUAAAUGAUCAGUGUAAUUUUCUUAAACCUUUGAAGAAGUGGGUGUAGAAAAACGAAGGGAAGCCCCCAGCCCCUUAGUGAGAAUGUGGUUGGGGCAUCUGUUGGUUUAUGAACGUCAUUCCUUAGGAGUAGCUGGAAUCUGCUCUCUUAGUGCACAGGAAACAGCUCUCUGAAUUGCUGGCUGGGAGCCAGCUAAAAGAGGUGUGGAAUGGAGUAAGAUGAAAGGAAAACAGUAAAAACCUUUCACUCUCUUCAGGGGAUGAGGGGUUGGGGGAGGAUUUUCCUCUCCAGGCUGAAGGGUUCUAGAAUCCUCACAGUCCUACUUAAAGCACAUUGAGUCUUUGUUUUUCUCUUCUGAUGUGCCCCAACAUUGAAGAGACCCUGUGUUACCUUAUCUUGCCCUCAUAGAAGAGAGAUUUUCCUACUCACCUAAUAGGUCCCAAGCUCUGGGGGAGGGGAUGAUUUUCACGACUCUAGUGGUGAGUGAUUCCCUUUUGCCUCCCCUUCCUAACAAGUAGGGCCAAAAAAAGGUUGGGUG
Long non-coding RNA from Microcebus murinus (gray mouse lemur), 3680 nucleotides. RefSeq lists it as uncharacterized. The record is from RefSeq and is a predicted model, not a curated record. Lineage: Eukaryota; Metazoa; Chordata; Mammalia; Primates; Cheirogaleidae.